AUUGAACGCUGGCGGCAUGCUUUACACAUGCCAGUCGAACGGUAACAGGUCUUCGGAUGCUGACGAGUGGCGAACGGGUGAGUAAUACAUCGGAACGUGCCUAGUAGUGGGGGAUAACUACUCGAAAGAGUAGCUAAUACCGCAUGAGAUCUACGGAUGAAAGCAGGGGACCUUCGGGCCUUGUGCUACUAGAGCGGCUGAUGGCAGAUUAGGUAGUUGGUGGGGUAAAGGCUUACCAAGCCUGCGAUCUGUAGCUGGUCUGAGAGGACGACCAGCCACACUGGGACUGAGACACGGCCCAGACUCCUACGGGAGGCAGCAGUGGGGAAUUUUGGACAAUGGGCGAAAGCCUGAUCCAGCAAUGCCGCGUGCAGGAUGAAGGCCCUCGGGUUGUAAACUGCUUUUGUACGGAACGAAAAGCCUGGGGCUAAUAUCCCCGGGUCAUGACGGUACCGUAAGAAUAAGCACCGGCUAACUACGUG
This 482-nucleotide ribosomal RNA is filed under the name uncultured bacterium. RNAcentral describes it as "partial 16S ribosomal RNA". It matches the Rfam family "Bacterial small subunit ribosomal RNA", at positions 30 to 507 of the family's 1533-position model. The record is from RNAcentral.